Molecule: ribosomal RNA, 429 nt
Filed under: Chloroflexota bacterium
Lineage: Bacteria; Bacillati; Chloroflexota
Description: Chloroflexi bacterium partial 16S ribosomal RNA
Rfam family: Bacterial small subunit ribosomal RNA
Source: RNAcentral
UGGGGAAUAUUGCACAAUGGGCGCAAGCCUGAUGCAGCCAUGCCGCGUGUAUGAAGAAGGCCUUCGGGUUGUAAAGUACUUUCAGUCGGGAGGAAGGUGUCAAGGUUAAUAACCUUGGCAAUUGACGUUACCCGCAGAAGAAGCACCGGCUAACUCCGUGCCAGCAGCCGCGGUAAUACGGAGGGUGCAAGCGUUAAUCGGAAUUACUGGGCGUAAAGCGCACGCAGGCGGUCUGUCAAGUCGGAUGUGAAAUCCCCGGGCUCAACCUGGGAACUGCAUUCGAAACUGGCAGGCUAGAGUCUUGUAGAGGGGGGUAGAAUUCCAGGUGUAGCGGUGAAAUGCGUAGAGAUAUGGAGGAAUACCGGUGGCGAAGGCGGCCCCCUGGACAAAGACUGACGCUCAGGUGCGAAAGCGUGGGGAGCAAACAGG